AGUACCAAUGUUGAUGCAUGUAAUGGCGAUAAUCCUUGAAGCGCAAGGAUAGAUAGGUAUCGAUCGCUCCCUCACACGAUCAUCCUCGAAAUCGACGAUGUCAAAUACACCCUGCCAAUAACAAAUAUUAGAAAAAUACUAUGCAAAUUAAAUAUUCGUAAUAUAAUUUAUUUUAUCUGUAAGUGGGUGUAGAAAACCUGUCUCUGAGCCGGGACAACAUGACGUC
This 226-nucleotide long non-coding RNA is filed under the name Elaeis guineensis (African oil palm). Its description in RNAcentral is "long non-coding RNA (EGUI_LNC010404)". Lineage: Eukaryota; Viridiplantae; Streptophyta; Magnoliopsida; Arecales; Arecaceae. The record is from RNAcentral.